This 546-nucleotide unclassified non-coding RNA is filed under the name Hevea brasiliensis (rubber tree). Lineage: Eukaryota; Viridiplantae; Streptophyta; Magnoliopsida; Malpighiales; Euphorbiaceae. The record is from RNAcentral.
GGUUCACCUUGCCACUAUUCCGAUCACCGGUACCGGAAUCAACCCGGCGAGGAGUUUCGGGGCAGCUGUGAUUUUCAACGGUGAUAAGGCGUGGGACGAACACUGGAUUUUCUGGGUCGGGCCAUUUAUCGGAGCUUUCAUCGCCGCUGUCUACCACCAGUACAUUCUCCGAGCCGGAGCAAUUAAAGCUCUUGGUUCAUUCAGAAGCAAUGCGUGAUAAAAGAUGGAAUAAUUUGAGAAAUUUGUAAAUAAAAAGUUUGUUAUGUCACAUCUAUCGUAAAAUGUAACGUGCAUCGAGCUUUAAAAAGUUUGUUAUUUCAAAUGGGGGAAAAAAAGGUGUGACUAUUCUAUCCUUUUGAUUUAUUUUUUUGUUUUGUUUGCUUUGGAUGUAUUUAAGUUAAAUCUAUUUGUAAUGUUUGGUUUUAUCUAGUUGUCCCUUUGUUAUCUUUUUUUGUAUUUCUCCUUGAUUUCAUGUACAUUAUAAUAAUAGUGUAUAUGUUGGGUUAAAUUUUUUUUUCAUGUACUUUGAAAUGAUUAAUUUUGUGA